GAUUCUUUAAGAAUUGAUAUUUGUGCUUUUAUGAAUAGUUAAAAUGUAUUUAUAUGUUUGUAUUUUUUGUGAACAUCCUGUGAGCACUGUGUAUUUUUAAGUAUAGACUCAAGGUUAAGGUUACGCCUUAAACCUAACGUUGAAAUCUUGGAAAGAUGAUAUUAUCAGUUGUAGCUAAUCUUCCAGCAGCUCCGGAGUUCUAAACCAACUCUGUACCAUCAAAAGGGGAUUUUAUAGAUAUUCUAAAAUCAGAAUAGAAUUAUCAUUUUCGGACCAAGUCCUGGACCAGAAAGUUCAUCUACACCUACAGCUUAAAGCAGUUCCCUACAGAAGCAGCAUUCUACAGUUCUGCUCCAGACAGCUCUAAAGGUUCAUCUACACCUACAGCUUAAAGCAGUUCCCUACAGAAGCAGCAUUCUACAGUUCUGCUCCAGACUGCUCCGUGUUCUGAAGACUCAUCAAUUCCAGCAGUUGAGAAGCUCCCUAAAUCCCCCCACAGAAAGUAAAAACGCUCCUAUAUAUUCCGUAACAAGUUUUAACCAAUAAACACUUUUCAACCCCCA
This is a long non-coding RNA of Eurytemora carolleeae, 563 nucleotides long. RefSeq lists it as uncharacterized. The record is from RefSeq and is a predicted model, not a curated record. Lineage: Eukaryota; Metazoa; Arthropoda; Copepoda; Calanoida; Temoridae. The transcript is spliced from 2 exons.